UACGUAGGGGGCUAGCGUUGUCCGGAUUUAUUGGGCGUAAAGCGCACGUAGGCGGCUUCUUAAGUCAGGGGUGAAAUCCUGGAGCUCAACUCCAGAACUGCCUUUGAUACUGAGAAGCUUGAGUCCGGGAGAGGUGAGUGGAACUGCGAGUGUAGAGGUGAAAUUCGUAGAUAUUCGCAAGAACACCAGUGGCGAAGGCGGCUCACUGGCCCGAUACUGACGCUGAGGCACGAAAGCGUGGGGAGCAAACAGGGAU
This 256-nucleotide ribosomal RNA is filed under the name uncultured bacterium. Its description in RNAcentral is "partial 16S ribosomal RNA". It matches the Rfam family "Bacterial small subunit ribosomal RNA", at positions 524 to 779 of the family's 1533-position model. The record is from RNAcentral.